UACGUAGGUCCCGAGCGUUGUCCGGAUUUAUUGGGCGUAAAGCGAGCGCAGGUGGUUUAUUAAGUCUGGUGUAAAAGGCAGUGGCUCAACCAUUGUAUGCAUUGGAAACUGGUAGACUUGAGUGCAGGAGAGGAGAGUGGAAUUCCAUGUGUAGCGGUGAAAUGCGUAGAUAUAUGGAGGAACACCGGUGGCGAAAGCGGCUCUCUGGCCUGUAGCUGACGCUGAGGCUCGAAAGCGUGGGGAGCAAACAGG
Molecule: ribosomal RNA, 252 nt
Filed under: uncultured bacterium
Lineage: Bacteria
Description: partial 16S ribosomal RNA
Rfam family: Bacterial small subunit ribosomal RNA
Source: RNAcentral